GGUGGAUGUAGCUCAAUUGGUUAGAGCGCCUGUUUGUGGCACAGGAGGUUGAGGGUUCAAGUCCCUUCUUCCACCC
Molecule: transfer RNA, 76 nt
Filed under: Candidatus Dojkabacteria bacterium
Lineage: Bacteria
Description: tRNA-His
Rfam family: tRNA
About the family: Transfer RNA (tRNA) molecules are approximately 80 nucleotides in length. Their secondary structure includes four short double-helical elements and three loops (D, anti-codon, and T loops). Further hydrogen bonds mediate the characteristic L-shaped molecular structure. tRNAs have two regions of fundamental functional importance: the anti-codon, which is responsible for specific mRNA codon recognition, and the 3' end, to which the tRNAs corresponding amino acid is attached (by aminoacyl-tRNA synthetases). tRNAs cope with the degeneracy of the genetic code in two manners: having more than one tRNA (with a specific anti-codon) for a particular amino acid; and 'wobble' base-pairing, i.e. permitting non-standard base-pairing at the 3rd anti-codon position.
Source: RNAcentral